Misgurnus anguillicaudatus (oriental weatherfish) is the source of this 1028-nucleotide non-coding RNA. NCBI's taxonomy places the organism in Eukaryota, Metazoa, Chordata, Actinopteri, Cypriniformes, Cobitidae. The record is from RefSeq and is a predicted model, not a curated record.
CAUAGACCAUACAUGUAUAUAUGAGACAAAAUAUAUUGCAUUCAAGAACAAAAAGGGCACUAUAUUUUUUACAUGUUAUAGUUUGUCUUUAUAUGCUUUGAUAUAUUGCAAUAUAUGCAUGAAACAUACAUUUAUAUAUGAUACAAAAUAUAUUGCAAUCAAGAACAAAAAGGGCACUAUAUUUAUAUAUAUAUAUAUAUAUAUAUAUAUAUAAAAUGCUCGAGUAGGAAGCUGAGAUUCAGGCGCGAAGAGAGGACAGGAUGCGUAACAGACACCAGCAACAAGGAGGCUGAUAGAUAGGUCCUGACCUAUGAUCCUGACCCACACUCCUAAUCAGUAGGUGGCGGUAAUGCCACUAAAAGUUGUUUGCCAACUGCCAGUAAAACUCAAGAAGAAGAAGAAGAAGAAGGCUGAUGUCAGCAGGCUCCAAGGAAACUUCAAGUUUUAAAAGAUGCUGUUUUAAAACAGUUUCCUAUAAGGCCAAGGAAGCUGAUGUCAGAAAAUCUAUCAACAGUAGUAUCUGCGAGCUAAUGGCAUUAAGACACCAAGUGAAGAGCAAAAGCAUGGGUAUGUAAGUGGUUUACAUCAGUGAAGAACCAAGGUGGACUCCUCACCAGGAUAAUGGACUGUUCUUUUGGCAAAUGUUUUUUUUUUUUUGCUUUUUCACGGUUCCCAAAACUUCUUGAAAGUUUGUUUAUUAUUUAUUUGUUCAUUAUUGUCUGUGCAUUUUGUUUAUUGAUAUUGUCUUUAUAUUGUAUAAUUGCACUGCUGAAAUUUUGAAAUAAUUUAAGUCGCUUCAAUUUAUAUUUUGUAUAUUUUUUGUUUAAUGGCACUCUUUUAAAAUGUAAUUUAUGUAAAUGCAAUGCAACACAUUUAUGUAAUGUAAUGUAAAGCCAAUCACAUUUCCUUUGACUGACCAUAUGCAAAACCUCUUGUGGUUUUAAUAGGCCUAUAGAGCUCUGUACCUCAAAUUGGGUUUAGUAUCUGUGCCUGAUUAAAAGAAAAUAAAGGUGGCUUUUGAUAGAUUA